GACGAAUGCUGGCGGCGUGCUUAACACAUGCAAGUCGAACGGAAAGGCCCUGCUUUUGUGGGAUGCUCGAGUGGCGAACGGGUGAGUAACACGUGAGUAACCUGCCCUUGACUUUGGGAUAACUUCAGGAAACUGGGGCUAAUACCGGAUAGGAGCUCCUGCUGCAUGGUGGGGGUUGGAAAGUUUCGGCGGUUGGGGAUGGACUCGCGGCUUAUCAGCUUGUUGGUGGGGUAGUGGCUUACCAAGGCUUUGACGGGUAGCCGGCCUGAGAGGGUGACCGGCCACAUUGGGACUGAGAUACGGCCCAGACUCCUACGGGAGGCAGCAGUGGGGAAUAUUGCACAAUGGGCGGAAGCCUGAUGCAGCAACGCCGCGUGCGGGAUGACGGCCUUCGGGUUGUAAACCGCUUUCGCCUGUGACGAAGCGUGAGUGACGGUAAUGGGUAAAGAAGCACCGGCUAACUACGUG
RNAcentral lists this ribosomal RNA (468 nucleotides) under uncultured bacterium. Its description in RNAcentral is "partial 16S ribosomal RNA". It matches the Rfam family "Bacterial small subunit ribosomal RNA", at positions 28 to 507 of the family's 1533-position model. The record is from RNAcentral.